CCGCGCAGGCGCCUGGGCGUCGGCUUCCGCGUAGUUCUGAGGGGACGUUAUGGCCAUAAAAACGGAGGUGCGACCAGAGUCUGAUCUCAGUACCACAGCUGCUAUCAUUAAGCUUCACGGACUGUGUAGGCAAGAGUACCUGAAGCCACAGUCAACUUGAGACAUGAUGGACAGCAAAGUUCAAUGGACAAAGGAGAAUCUUCUUCCUCAGUUUCCCCAGUUUUUUCAGUGUUAAGGAGCUGAUAGACUGGAGUGGCCCAUAAAAGAAGUUGGCGGUGCAUAGCUUUAAAUGUUAGUCAAAGAGCUGUCAGAAUGUGGAUCACACAAGAAUUUAGCAUGGCUCCUGUCCAGAAAGAGAGAAAGUCUAAAGAUCCCCACCAGGAAGAGCUUUUGAUCAGAAGAUGGGCCUGAGCCUACCCCAGUGACCUGGAUGGUCAGCAAAGUGUCUUCCUGACCAAUGCACCAGAAGUGUUGCAGAAAACCAAUAUCAAACCAAAUGGAAGACUUGAAACAAGAAGUUAAA
Molecule: long non-coding RNA, 523 nt
Organism: Octodon degus (degu)
Lineage: Eukaryota; Metazoa; Chordata; Mammalia; Rodentia; Octodontidae
Exons: 4
Source: RefSeq, a predicted model, not a curated record